UUUUUUCUGGUGCCUUUGCUGGUCCUGCGUCCACUUACUCGGGAGUAAGUGCCCCUGAACUCUGCGGGAUCAGGUUCAGCACUCUCUUUUCGACAGUCUUUCAAUUAAGAGGCGAUGAGUCCCUAAGCACGUUUGCUUAAGGGUCACUUCAGUGACUUGCCACCACCCUCACCCAAAAGUCCUCCAAGAGAGAAAACCAAAGCAAUUUCAAAGAUUGGCCAGCCCAUUCAACAAGCUCAGGCUGUUUUUUUGUUUUUUGUUUAAUGUAUGUUUGAAGCUGCACUGACUACAUGCUUCUUAAGUAGUUGCAGAACAAGGGUUAGGGCUACCUGCCUCGCUGGGAUUCUCCACUUUAACCCUUCACGCAGUCAUUUGCAGAACAGCUGCUAAGAAAUGCUGUUUCCCAGUCCUGUGCAGGAUCAUGGAGCAAAGGCCUGGGCGUUCUUCUGCUUUCACCAGUUUCCUUGGCCAUCUUCCCCUCAGCUUGACUCUGAGAUGAAAAACCAGCCAACCAAGGCAAAAACAGCCUUGGAGGGAUCCCAGCAGGCAGGAGAAGAAGAAAUCAGCAUGAAUGUCCCACAGCUAAAGGACUAUACAAGGAACUGACAUAAAUGUUUGCCCUGAAAAAAGUAGUUGUAACGUCCAUUUUAUUAUCACACACUUGACUAGUACAAUGUACAAAUUAAUAUAAACACAAUACCUGUAAGAAGAUCUCCAGCGGUCCCCCUGCCCCACCCCCUUCAAAAGGCUUGCUGCUGAACUUUUAUCUUGGAUGUCAAAGGCUGGCAAUUUGCAGUCCUUUAGACUGAAAUGUUACUUGAGCAAAUAUAAACUUGUGUGCAUACAACGCAAAGCAAUCCCAGCAUCUACUUCUCUGUGGUAAAUAUAAUGCUUAUUGUGCAAAUCCAUCUGUGCACUGCACAUUGAUUCUGCAUAAAGUUUUUUUUUUAAGUAUGACAAGCACUCAGUGAGAAAGAAAUUUUUGAGAGCAUCUCUACUUGUUAGUCAUUACAACACAAAGGAGCAUUGUAUUUCUGAGUGGAAUAAACUC
Long non-coding RNA from Rhineura floridana, 1051 nucleotides. RefSeq lists it as uncharacterized. NCBI's taxonomy places the organism in Eukaryota, Metazoa, Chordata, Lepidosauria, Squamata, Rhineuridae. The record is from RefSeq and is a predicted model, not a curated record. The transcript has 3 exons.